CGGCGGCCAUAUCACGUUCAACUUCCGGUUCCCGUACGAUCACAUCAGUUUAUCAAUCAUGAGCCUGGUCAGUACUUAGAUGGGUGACCGUUUGGCAAUACCAGGUACUGUAA
This is a non-coding RNA of Acanthosepion pharaonis, 113 nucleotides long. Lineage: Eukaryota; Metazoa; Mollusca; Cephalopoda; Sepiida; Sepiidae. The record is from the annotation of a GenBank genome assembly.